RNAcentral lists this long non-coding RNA (898 nucleotides) under Pongo abelii (Sumatran orangutan). RNAcentral describes it as "lincRNA". The record is from RNAcentral. Lineage: Eukaryota; Metazoa; Chordata; Mammalia; Primates; Hominidae.
GAACAAAGGCCUGGAGACUGGAACGAGCUGCGUUCUUGGGGGUGGGGGGUGGCAGCUGGAGAGUGGGGGCUUCCCCAGCGGGAGGGGGAGGACGAUUCUGGAGGGCUUCCCUCCUUGUGUGCAGAGUGAGUCUCUGCUAUGAGAAAGGUGUUUUACAUAUGGCUCGGGAGCCAGCAAGUGCUAUGAAGCCCCUUCACAUGGCUAGUGGCAUCCUGAGGGCCCGGCGACAAUUAGUCAUGGCGUCAUCGAACACCAGGCUGGAGGAGGUCUUGGAUGCCACAGCUCCUUUUGAAUUUCAAAGAAGUUCAAAUCCCCAUCUGGCUGUUACACUUUUAGGGUAUUGAGAGUGAAAACAAGCACUGACAUGAACACCCAACCAGCUGCUGGUGACAUCAUCCCCUUCUGAGAUCUGAGGACAUGAACACCCAACCACCUGCCAGUGACAUCGCCUCCUUCUGAGAUCUGAGGACAUGGACACCCAACCACCUGCCGGUGACAUCGUCUCCUUCUGAGAUCUGAGGACAUGGACACCCAACCAGCUGCUGGUGACAUUGUCUGCUUCUGAGGUCUGAGGACAGACACUCACAUAGACACCCAAUCAGCUGCUGGUGACAUCGUCUGCUUCUGGAAUCUGAGGGUUGGAACACAUUGGCCUGGCUCAGUGUUUCUCCAUGUGGUUUUGACACCACCUGAGUUGGAAUCAAUGUGGGUUCCCAGCCUCAUGCCUGGAGAGUUGGAUUUUGCGAGUGUGAGGUUAGGUCCAGCAUCUGCAUGUGUAACGAGCUCCCAGGUGUUUCGUAGAUGCAGUAGGGCUUGAGAAGCUCCUUUCUAGCACCAUCUUCCCUUUUGCGCAUGAGGGAGUUCAGGUCCAGAGAAAUAAAGCAGCAAGGUUAGUGGC